AAGGAGCUAGUCCAACAAAGACCUCUGAUUUCGGCUCAGAAAAUUAUGGUUAAACCCCAUAGCUCCUCU
Molecule: transfer RNA, 69 nt
Filed under: Megalamphodus rosaceus
Lineage: Eukaryota; Metazoa; Chordata; Actinopteri; Characiformes; Acestrorhamphidae
Also listed under: 1 other name
Description: tRNA-Arg
Rfam family: tRNA
About the family: Transfer RNA (tRNA) molecules are approximately 80 nucleotides in length. Their secondary structure includes four short double-helical elements and three loops (D, anti-codon, and T loops).
Source: RNAcentral